This 248-nucleotide long non-coding RNA is filed under the name Ananas comosus (pineapple). RNAcentral's name for it is "long non-coding RNA (ACOM_LNC006594)". Lineage: Eukaryota; Viridiplantae; Streptophyta; Magnoliopsida; Poales; Bromeliaceae. The record is from RNAcentral.
UUUUUUUUUUUUUUUGAGAGAUAGGUAGCACGCUACCCGCUUCGUUUAUUUCAUUUAGAAAUAAACUUAGCUGAAAAUAUGAAUCAACUAGGAUUCGAACUUAGGUCUCGGAUACCAAUCACCAAGCCCUUUGCCACUUGCUCUAGGGACGGUCGGUGAUUUACAAUUUCUCAAAAGUUUUAUAGUUUAUGUCUCAAAACGAGAAAUAUUUUGAAAUAUACUACAUGAUGCACAACGCAUAACUCACA